This 301-nucleotide ribosomal RNA is filed under the name uncultured bacterium. RNAcentral describes it as "partial 16S ribosomal RNA". It matches the Rfam family "Bacterial small subunit ribosomal RNA", at positions 509 to 807 of the family's 1533-position model. The record is from RNAcentral.
CAGUAGCCGCGGUAAUACCGAGGGUGCGAGCGUUAAUCGGAUUUACUGGGCGUAAAGCGUGCGUAGGCGGCUUCUUAAGUCGGAUGUGAAAUCCCUGAGCUUAACUUAGGAAUUGCAUUCGAUACUGGGAAGCUAGAGUAUGGGAGAGGAUGGUAGAAUUCCAGGUGUAGCGGUGAAAUGCGUAGAGAUCUGGAGGAAUACCGAUGGCGAAGGCAGCCAUCUGGCCUAAUACUGACGCUGAGGUACGAAAGCAUGGGGAGCAAACAGGAUUAGAUACCCCAGUAGUCCCUGUCUCUUAUAC